This is a long non-coding RNA of Parus major (Great Tit), 5784 nucleotides long. RefSeq lists it as uncharacterized. Lineage: Eukaryota; Metazoa; Chordata; Aves; Passeriformes; Paridae. The record is from RefSeq and is a predicted model, not a curated record. The transcript is spliced from 5 exons.
AGCAGUUCUUGCAUGACCGGUGGCUCUCACCACACGUCGCUACCACACAGAUUAAAAGCGUGAAACUGCAUGGGGAAACACAAGAAGGCUUGUCUCUGCAGACAGGCAAAGUGCUGUUUGCCAGAUUUGUGGCACUCUGAGAGCUUGCUGUACACAUCUGCCCAGCAAAGUUAUCUGGUGGUGAGAAAUCCGAGGAUUCUGAGCAUUUUUUCAUGGAGAAACUUUGAAAGUCAAGCAAAUACUUUUAUCUUGACCUUUCUGCAAGGCUGCCCCACAUUCACUAGUUGUCAGCACAUGUUUGUCUGGAGUCAUUCGUCACUGCCAUCCGUCAUUCCUCUGCCAUUCCCAUCAGUCCCAUUAUCUGGGAUCAGGAGAGAGCUGAGGAUGUAGCCUGAAGGAUCAUUAAACCUCAGCUUCCAGGUACUGCAGGUAGUCCAGGUGGUCUGUUGUUAUUUAUAAUAAAGAAACAACACAGCAGAACUGCCUGGCAGUGGCCCAUGAGGCCCAGAGAAAGGACGGGCUGAGGGAUGUCAUCACUGAAGGACAGCUAAAAGUGGACUUUCUUCCUCCCACACUGUAAGCAGAGAGGAUUUAUUGAACAUCUGUUCAGUACAUGGCUGGGAAGAUUGAUUAAUUUAAUUGCUCACACUUUGCUUAAGUAACAUUUGAAUACUUAAUGUCAGGUUUGAAGGAUAUUACAACAUUUACUCGCACACCUUUUUAAAGAGGCAGAGUUUCUCAUUGCUUUUUGUGUCUUUCAAGGAAGUUGAAAUGCAUCCUGAAAUUUACUUUGCCCAGAGGUCUGGGAAAACUGGAGAAAGUGGGAAAAGCUCCUUUCUUCAUAAAUGCAGAAACUAUGGACAACUCAUGUAUAAAUGGAAAAACAGGACUUCAGUUGUUCAAGAAAACCAGAAUUGUUAUACAGAAGACAAUGAAUGAAUCCUUUUUUUCUGCCUGCUUGUAGAAUACGUGAGGUCUGCUGACCUCAAAUCACUCUCAGUUUGGGAAGCUGUGAAAAACUCUUCCUAAACUUCCCACUGAAGCUGUAGAAUGAUAUUGCAGAAUGAUACAGAGCUCUUUUGGCUACUGAUGGGACAUACUGCUGAUUUCAAGUCCAUGAAAUCUGGAGAGAAUUCAGGGCACACAGACUGGCUUCCCUUCAGCCAAGAUGAAAAAGCCUGAAUUCAAUUCUCCAGAUUGGAAGAUUAAGAGGUGCUUAGCUGCCCAGAUUGCAUCCCCACUUCCAUGCACAAAAUUGGCCCUUACUAUAUUUAUAUCAUUUUGAAACAGAGAGAAAUUAAUGCAGCCUCUAAAAUAUUGGCCAUUAGGGAUACAUUUGAAGACAAGUUCUAUAAAAUUUGGGAAAUUAACACAUUUGCAAAUAACUAUGACAUGUUAAUAACCAUAAAACAAACUCAGGAGAAGUUGUAUUCCUUCAGUGAGUAUUCUCACUUUGCCAUUCAUGUCCAGAUCAUAUGGGCACUAUUUUGGUACAAUCCAUAAAAAGCAGGAGCCCUUUUCCAUAGUGGGAAAGUCCAUAGCUGGGACAUGGUUGAUGUUAAUUUCAUAAAGUGGUGUCUUUUCACAAUGGCCUGUUCACUGUUAGGUUUCUGUGGCAUUUUUUUUCUUUCAGGGAAAUUUGAGCCCCUUUAUAGAUUACCAGCUUUCAAAGGAAAGCCAAAGCUUCCCUUUAGGUGUAAUUAAUAUGUUAUUAUUGCUUUUGGUAUGAAUAUGGGAGAUGUCCUGUGAUCUUAAUGGAAAUAGGGAGUUCUCUUAACUCUGUUUCAACCACUUGUAGCAGUUUUCUCCUCAGGGCCUUUGGCAGGCAGCAGUGACCACCACUAUCCACUCUGUUGGACUUUGCUCUGAUUAGAGAGCAGUGAAGAAUACAGAAAAAAACCCUGAAUUACUAAAAAAAUUGAUCAAAUAAGGUGGCAAUUAUUAGAAUAAUUCAGGUGGAGGUGAGGUCACCUCAGUCAGUCUCCAGCUCAAGCUGCUCUGUCAGUAUUUAUGGCUGUUCUUAUUUCAGCACUCUAAAGUUCUGAACCUGGUUCUAACUCUACAUUCACUGAUGCUGUGGGGACCUGGGUUCAUCUUCAUAGUGAGCACUUAAAUGUCUGUCCAAUCUGCCUGUGAAGGUUGCAUUCAAUUCUCUGUAACCUUAAAAGAGUUUUUAUUUGGUAUAGAUACAGCAAAGACAGACUUGUCUUCUCAUUCAGCUCUGAAAGCUUUCGUUUUGUUUGACAACAUUUUAUACUGAGCUUGGCUCACUCUCUCACAAGGAGAAAGUAUGCAAACUUUACAUAGAAGUGGGCAGAAAAUUUGGCUACAUUUGUUUGCUAUAGCAAACACCGACUCACAGAGAAGCAAACAUUGUACUGAUUUUGUUGAAACUUGAAGAAAACAUGUCUAGUGCCCAGUAUGGAAUUUUGGAUCAAAAUGACAAAGGAAAAUGCAAAAGCAACUGCAAUUUUAGACCAGAGUAUUUAUAUAGAUGCACAGAGUAUUUAUAUGGAUGUUGCCUAUUUUGAUUUUUCAUCUUGUUUUAUUGUAUACUCCCACCAUCUUCCUCUCAGCUCUAUGAAUUAGGCUUUAUCCAGGUGCAAUAUUUUUGAAAUUUCAAAUUUUUUGUGGCUUGGAACUAAAAAAAAAAACAACUCAUCAUUUCCAUCUGUACCACAUCUAGAUAUGAAACCUCAUCUUUCGUGGGCAGAAAUCCUGCUUCCAGAGAAGCAGCAUGUGGCUAUGCCCAUUUGAUGACCAUGUGCCAUCCCUGGAAUACUGGAGGAGACUGCUCAGAACAUUUUGUGCCACUCUGGAGUGAAUUCCACAGGCCAGGCCCUGCACUGACACAUUUCCAUCCAUCCCCUGCAAUGCAUGUGGCAGCAGUAUUCCAUCUGUUUCUAAUGAGGCAUAGCGGGGGAGGAAAUCUUAUGCAUAAACAUCUCCCACAUCACUUAUGAUUCCACUGAAGAACAUCUCUGCAACAGUAUUUGUUUGUGAGGAAGAUUUUUAGCUAUUUGUUUAUUUUAAUACCUGUGGAUGUCAAACAGAAGAGAUUAGCCAGUUCCUGAACCUGGAAAAUUCCUUGGCUGAAUUUUUUACUGUAUUUUGAGAGCCAAUUCCAGCACAAAUUCUUGUUGUAAAGGUCUUGUCUAUAUUCUCCAAAGAAUAGAUAAUAAUUUUGUAUGUACCUAUUCUAUUUUAGGGGUAAGGCAGUUGUAGCUAGAUUUAACUCUAAACAAAGAGCAAGCUGUUCUUUAUUUAACUCCAGUUAUAAACAAGUUAUAGCAAAACAUAAAUGGAGGGGAAACAAAAGAACAAAAACUACCACUUUGCAUAGGCAUUCUUUUAAAAUGUACAUUUCUUUGUAUGGAAGAGCACUGCAGUGUUUUUUUAGAGGCAAAUAGUUUGCUGUGAUGUGUAUGAAAUAGAAUUUUGAUAGACAGAAUAAGCUGCAAUCCAGUUCUAAACUAUAGAUUUUCAAGCAGAUUGAUGCAACAAAUUGUUAGCAAAUAGCAGUUUGCAAUUUGAUGCUAAUUAGACAUAAGGCAAAUAUGUGCCAUGACAAAUUAGCAGCAAACCAUACUGAAAAGGAUUAGCAAGAGCUGGCACAGAGACUGCUCGAUUUUGCAUACUUCCUUGUCUUAGUCUAGGAGGUCUGAGCCAGUUUUCCUUCUCUGUAAAUAAGAAACCAGAGCAGAGAUCACAGGCAUGCUAGAAUGCCUUUAAUUGCAUAUUUGAAAUGUUUUAACUCUCUCUUAAUCCCAUGGAGGCUUUUCUCCAUACCACCAGCUUUAUUAUCCUGGGAGAUGAUCAAGUACUUUAUCCAUUUAAUAUUAUAACUAAAUACAUUAUGAGGUAAGUAACUCACGGGGUUAUUUACUUUAGCAAGUCUAUUGUACUUAUAGAUUUAAGAAAAAGCCCCAUUCUUAUUCAAAACACCUUUGCUUAACUUCCUGCAAAUGUGUUUUUCAGCGGAUUUAAUUAUUCAUUUCAUUAAUAAAUUAAUUUUUGCUAGAGGAUUAUCACAUUUUUUUAUUGAUGUGCACAAUGCCAUUGUAGUAGUUAGUGUAGAUCAAACCCAUCACCAUAUCCAGAUGAGAUAAUGCAGUUGUGUUUUCAAGCCAAAGAGGAGCAGGAUGUAAUUUUUCAGCCAGUUCUUCAGACCUAAGCCUGAAUACCAACACAGCUGUAAGUAUGACUUCAGAACUAAAGCAAAAAGCGCUCUUGCAUCUUUGAAGGGUGACAUAAUUUCAUUAGGAUCAAGAAUCCUAAACAAAAACCACGGUAAAAAUACCUGUUUGUUAAAUUUAAACAGUUUAUUCUUUCUUCAUGUGGCUGUUUGUUUGUUUAGUAUUUAAAAUUAAGAGUUUACGAAGCAAGUCAUCACAUUCCCCAAGCUUUCUACUCAUAUUUGCUGGUGUGUGCUUCAGUUUGGAUAUGUAAAAUGACAUGUUUAUACUUCAAGGAAUCUUGGGUAGAUCAGAGGUUCUUAAAUACAGUUUCUCUUUCAAAUCUGACUUUCUAGGGCAUACAAGACAUUUAACUCACUAGACUGAUGGUUUUUGUCUAAAAUUAUAUGUAUAUAUUACAUUCCCAACAUUCCUAUGUCUAAAUAUGGAUCAAAAAAGAUUGUUAGAAAUAGUUCAAAGGUGCUAAAACAUUAUGUAGUUAGAUGUAAACACACAUUUCGGUUACCAAAAUAAAUGAAGUGGGAGAAUAAAAGGAAAUUAUGCACAAAAGACUGUUCUUUCAUAAGUCUUAGAGAGAAUUCCUCAGACAAUUUAAACCACCAUCAGUAACAAGUUUUGCUACAGCACUGUCUUACCACAUAAACAGUAUGAUAACACACUAUCAAGGAUUUACAAAAAGGUGAUGAAAAUAGUUGUGCUGUUUAGAAAGAAAAAAGCGAAAACUCCAGGCUUUCCCUGUAAUUUCUCAUAUUAUUCACAUGAAAGGCACUGUCCUGUGGAAGCUUCUGUGUGCACUGAGGCCUGGAAAAUGUGUUUCCAGUAUUGCCAGGCUGUCUCACUGGCUGUUUGCCUGCUCCCUUUUGCCAGAGUUUUUGCCCACUUGCCACACCACAGCAGAAAUUUGGGCAAUGAUCUUUAUGCCGGUGCAAAAUCUUAGAAAAGUGAAUUGAUUGCCCUCUGGGCAGAGAGCUUUAUUUCCUUUUUGCUGUUCCUGCACAGACUCGUGGUGAAUUCUUGGUGGGCAGUUAUUUGCCUGUAUUGAAAGAGUGCAGGAAGCCACCAGCAGGCAAACACAGACUGAAAAUUGUAACACUUAAAAGGGGUGUUGUUAAGAAUUUUAGGAUUAUAUGCAACGUAAAAAUGGUUGUAAUUUCCAAAGGGUAAUUUUUUUCUACUCAAGCCUUUUCACAUGGUAUCUUCCCUCAAAAAAGCAUCACAAUUUUUCUGCCUGUAAUGUUUCUCCCAAACACCCCCACUGCUCAGUUCAAUGACAGCUUUCCUGGCAGUGCCUAAGCAGAUUUUACAUUUUCCUGUAGAUGCAGUGUCAGCCCAGAUCCUGCCUGAGAGCUUUGCUCCUGGCUGCUGUGGCAGAUCUUUGUGCUGGAGGACAGAUGUUCUACACGGUGCAGGGGGUCUGGGUCAGGCAGCAGCACUUGGAGCAUGUUGGAUGUUGGGAAUCUCCUCUCAGGCACCUCCCAGUUCCAGGCCUUAGCACCAGCUAUCAUGGGAUUAAUAAGAUACAUUGUUCCCAGGAAAAUAUGUGCACUCAUGGAGAACCUUAUUGACAUUGCUGCAGAGAGGUGAGUUC